UGGCUUGGAAGCAGCCAUUCAUUUAAAGAGUGCGUAACAGCUCACUAGUCGAGCGUUCCUGCGCGGAAAAUAAUCGGGCAUCAAAUAAUUCACCGAAGCUAUGGAUUUGUCUUCGGACAAGUGGUAGGGGAGCAUUGUAGUGGGGUAGAAGGCGUGCUGUGAGGCAUGUUGGACUAGCUACAAAAGCAAAUGUAGGCAUGAGUAACGAUAAAACGGAUGAGAAAUCCGUUCGCCGUAAGACUAAGGUUUCCUCGUUCGAUGUUAAUCAGAACAGGGUUAGUCGGGACCUAAGGCAAACCCGAGAGGGGUAGUCGAUGGACAACUGGUUAAUAUUCCAGUACUUGCAUACACUAAAAAGGGGACGGCGUCAUGUAGACUGCGCGUAGUGACGGAUUACUGCGCUGAGGGAAAGGCUUAGGCUAGAACCGAGUAGUUGAGUUGACGUCCAAGAAAAGCCGAAGUAUGCAACCCGUACCGUAAACCGACACAGGUAGUCGAGGAGAGUAUCCUAAGGCGCUCGAGUGAUUCAUGGUUAAGGAACUAGGCAAAAUCGCCCCGUAACUUCGGGAGAAGGGGCGCUCUGAAAAUAAAUUUAGAGCCGCAGUGAAAAGGCCCAGGCGACUGUUUAGCAAAAACACAGGACUUUGCAAAAUCGAAAGAUGAAGUAUAAGGUCUGACACCUGCCCGGUGCUGGAAGGUUAAGGAAGGUACUUAGGAGCAAUUCGAAGGUGCUAACUGAAGCCCCAGUAAACGGCGGCCGUAACUAUAACGGUCCUAAGGUAGCGAAAUUCCUUGUCGGGUAAGUUCCGACCUGCACGAAUGGUGCAACGAUCUGGGCACUGUCUCAACCAUGAGCUCGGUGAAAUUGAAGUAUCGGUGAAGAUGCCGAUUACCCGCAACGGGACGGAAAGACCCCGUGAACCUUUACUAUAGCUUAACGUUGAUAUUGAAUAUUUAGUGUGUAGGAUAGGUGGGAAACUUUGAAGCAGCCUCGUUAGGGGUUGUGGAGUUGUUCUUGAAAUACCACCCUCUAAUUAUUUGAUAUCUAAUCUUUUUGAAACAGCGUUUGGUGGGUAGUUUGACUGGGGUGGUCGCCUCCAAAAGAGUAACGGAGGCUUCUAAAGGUUCCCUCAGCACGGUUGGUAAUCGUGCGUAGAGUGCAAUGGCAUAAGGGAGCUUGACUGAGAGACCUACAAGUCGAUCAGGUACGAAAGUAGAGCAUAGUGAUCCGGUGGUUCCGCAUGGAAGGGCCAUCGCUCAAAGGAUAAAAGGUACUCCGGGGAUAACAGGCUGAUCUCCCCCAAGAGCUCAUAUCGACGGGGGGGUUUGGCACCUCGAUGUCGGCUCGUCACAUCCUGGGGCUGGAGAAGGUCCCAAGGGUUGGGCUGUUCGCCCAUUAAAGUGGCACGCGAGCUGGGUUCAGAACGUCGCAAGACAGUUCGGUCCCUAUCUGUUGCGGGCGUAGGAAUAUUGCGGAGAUUUGUCUCUAGUACGAGAGGACCGAGAUGAACUGACCUCUAGUGUAUCAGUUGUGGCGCCAGCUGCAUUGCUGAGUAGCUAUGUCGGGAACGGAUAAGCGCUGAAAGCAUCUAAGCGCGAAGCCAACUCCAAGAUGAGUAUUCCAGUUCUUCGGAACGAAGGGUCGUAGAAGAUGACUACGUAGAUAGGCUAUAGAUGGAAGUGCAGUGAUGCAUGAAGUCAAGUAGUACUAAUUACCCGAUAGCUUCCUUUUUUUCUU
Molecule: ribosomal RNA, 1738 nt
Filed under: Bacteroidota bacterium
Lineage: Bacteria; Pseudomonadati; Bacteroidota
Description: bacterial LSU rRNA
Rfam family: Bacterial large subunit ribosomal RNA
Source: RNAcentral